CCACACACACACCACACACACAUAUCAUGCCAAGAGCAAAUGCUCCCAUUGUUUCUGCUCUCUAUUCUAAUGCAGAACCGAGCGCGAUGAGGGUAAAUCCGGAUCUGGACUCCUUUCCCACCAUCAGCAGAAGAACCGAAGGAGAAGAAGCGCCGACCCACAACCAGAACGGGGUGGAAGCUCUGACACCACAGCAGCUGGAGGACACAGACCACAGCAUGGACGCCUCACAGACUCCCACAACGUCUGCAGCCAUCACGUUCUGGGCUCAUCAGAUGAACCAGCUACUACAAGCGUGUGUGUCUGACACAGACACCUGCUUAUGACAAUCAGCAAAGGAAAACAAGGACAGAGCAACAGCAGAGAAGACAUGCUCUGACACAGACACUGGUUGAAACAACAGGAGAGGCUUCAGACGUGAUCGGCCCAAAAGAGCUGCAUCUGAGGAUCCAGGAAAGGUCUGUCAUCGAGGAACAACUGUCCCAUUGAAAGGCUUCACCCGCUGGCGCUCACAUCAGACUGAUGGUUGGGGAAGGAGGAAGGUGACGGUUCCUUUUCACGUGACGUACAAGACGCUCCACACGUCCCUCUGUGAAAACAUGAUGGAGACAGAUGCAGGACGUGGGUCCUUUCGUGAACAGAUGUCAACGGGGUGGAGACUGGUGAACGACUUCUGACCCCAUGUGACGUAUUUACCUACUUUGCAUACUUUAGAAAACUUUUUUUUUAUUCUGCCUGUCAUGUGCAGCAAACAGUGAACUGGGUACCUCCACAUUCUAAUGACACACAUUACACGCUUUCGUUUUUAUUUUUAUUUUUCAGAGGACGCUCUGACCCAACACUCAGCCUUACAGGAAGCCCUGCUUCCCUGUGGCUCACACACAUAUGAUGUAGGUUUGAUCAGAGGAUGUGAACUAGUGGUCAUCACACCUAAAUCUGACCACAGACCAUGUAAACAACAACACCAUCUUAAAGGAGCCAUACAGUAGAUGGCGUUACUGCAGACACCACUAAGCUACUGAAACAUUGGAUGCUACAGGCCACAAAGAGAGCCUGUUUAAAUUACACUUUGUUCAGACAAAGGUUAUUUUCUGGGUCAUUGUAAUUACAGCUGAUGGCAAAUCCAUCUCACCCAACAGAUUUGAAGCAAUUUGAAACCUGCCUAAACCGUGCACGUAUAAACAGCUGAUGUUUUUUCUAGGUCUUUGUUCUUAUUGUAGGACUUUCAUUCCUAACUUUACUGUCUUUGAGGCCCCACUCAGGGUUCUGAUGCAGACGUCUUCAUCGUCCACUUCUUGUCUCACGUGGACGUCUGAGGCUGAACAACGUUCACUAACCUCAUGCUUGCUCUUCAGUUGGCUCCUACUUUGGGUCUUCCUGAUCUGACCCUACGUGACCUUUCACUCAAACAGUGGAUGAGAAAUCAGGUUGUACGACUUCUGUUCUUUUGUCCUCAUACUGUGUCUUUGAUUCUUUUGGAAAACAUCACAUCUUUCUACAGCCCGAUGGCUUAGAUGCAACACCACUUUGCUCAACAUGCUGAACGUUACUAUCAAGAGGCCGUCUUGAAGUCUGGCUCUUUGCUAAGACACUACUCUGCUCAGGCUGCAGAGUUGAUCGCGUUGACUGAAGCUAGUAAACUAGCAGAAGGAGAGACUGUUACCAUCUACAGACUCCACAGAUGCUUGUCACACGUUGGUUCUCUGUGGAAGCAUGGGAAGCUUUGAAGUCUGAUUGCAAACCUAUCUUACAUCAUGAUUAGUUUCUGCUUUGCUGGACGCUGUCCUGCUGCCUACAGCUAAUGCUGUUUGUAACUGUCCAACAUCAGUGACGACUUUGUUUCUGCCGACAUGCAGCUGCAGACGCUGCUGCGAAGGUCGCUGCCCAACAACCCCUCCCUCUCCUGAUCCUCGUUUCCUCUCCUCAUCCUUGUUCCCUCUCUCCAACUCUCUCUAUCCUUUCCUUCCUCUCUCCCUGUGCUUUAAACAUUUUGUACCUCACAGGAACGCAGACUCUGGCUGACGAAUGGUUCCACCUGUAGCCAUGGAGUCUGGUUUGGGCCUGAUGACACGCCGUGCCGCCCAAACACCUUUUCCCCACAAUUCAGAUUUCCCAACAGGUGAAAACAGGCGACAGGACCAUUACACCAUCCAACCAGGGCACGGGCGAUCGUUAAGGAGUUCAGGAGGAAGCACUGGACCUCCAAACGGUGGCGAGGCCCCUUCCAGGUCCUUCUGACGACCCACACGGCUGUAAAGAUCGCAGAGAGAGCGACUUGGACCAACUCCAUCCAGGAAGGUCCCGGAUCCGACAGACAACCCUCCAUCUACACCACACGGAGAAAACCACCACUGACAUAAAGAACUGAGAAGGACGACCCUCGCUGUGCUCACACACGCACUGAGGCGAGGCUGCGUUGACCGUUCAGCUAAAGGUGUGAGCCAAGCGCCGCCUGAAGCUGCGCCGGUGAAUCACACUAUCAGACCAUACAUCUACACACACGCUCCUGAGAAAACACACACACGAGCAGCCUUGAGUUGCCGACGCUGGACGACGUGUAGACUCUUCACAUCACGGGAGUGACAGUGACUCAGACGACAUUGGGAGGAAACCUGGCGGUGAUAACGAACCCCAAGUGUCUCUGUGAUCAGCUGAUCACAACCUGAAGAACUCCAACGAACUGACAAUACUUCAACACACAGGUUGGAAACAAUCUAACGCUACUGUUCAACAGGAAGAAGCAGAUUGUUACAAGACAUCAAUUGUAACCUUGUUUUGUUAAACUUCAUUUUAUGUUACAUGGAUUGUUGUCUUUAUCAUAUGAUGUUUCUAUGUAACUUUACACACUACUUUUGAAUGAGAAAAUUUCACAUAAUUCACAACACUGAGUUUAAAUAUCCUAAAGUUGAUUUGGUGUUUAAUUUGCUCACAAUCACUUAUUCACUGCUACAAUUAGUUUUUAUCCUUCAUCUACAGAUGACAGAGGUUAUGAGACAAAACGCAUCAUCAUUCUGGUUAAAUCCCUGAAUCUCCUAUUCGCUCUAGACGCAAAUGUACAAUUAAAGAUCCGAAAGCAUGAAAUCUAUCUUAAGAUUAUAUGAAACAGAACCCCACCGGAAACGUAUGGCUAUCAUACAUUAAUUGUCUUUAUUACAUUACAAUUGAAUGGCCGUAGACACGUUGUUAGCAGAGAAAAGAGGCGGUUGUGUUGUGUUUGGAGACGCAUAUUGUACUUACAUCCUGAAUAACACUGAUUCUAAUGGUAUUGUGGCGAAGGCGCUACACGGCCUUCAAAAUCCCAGCUAACUCUGGUAUAGGUUCUUCCUCUUGGAAUUGGCUAGACGAAAUGUCUGGAAAAUGGAAAUCUGUUCUCAUGUCCACAGCUGUUUCCUUUAUAAUUGAGAUGGCUGUGAUUCUCUUGUUUGGUUUUUGCGUUAUCCCACUGGUUAGAGGUCUCAUCAUGCGUGCGACCUCAGCAACACUCUCGUAUCAAAUGACACAAGGCACUAUGUUCAAAAACCCCAACUCUAAUUCACAUAAUGACUUUGACAAUGGUCUUAGGCUAUUUGAUCACAAAAUAUAAUCUGAUACAAAUAUGAUUAUGAGCUUAUUUUCUUCGCAUGCCAAUACAGAGGUUAUUCUUGUUUAACUACCCACCAAAAACAGCUCCCAACCUUUUGUCCCUUAGUUACUUCCAUUUUAUGUGAAGGUGUAUUUUGAAUCUUGAUGAGUUAAUACCCUUAUUGUUUCAUUUGCAAGGAUCUUUUAUUAUUACAGAAUGUGAUGUUGACAAUUUUUCUUCUUAGUGGUUGAUUAAUGUGUAAUCAAAAGGGGGGAGUGUUAUGGCAAAAAUUGUCUCUUCCUUAUUUCUAUGUCUCUUCCUUAUUUCUAUGCAGUUAUUAUACGAGUUAUGACUUAUGUUCUGCAAUUAAUAUCUUAUGUUUUGUCUUACUGUAUGCAUUUGACAUUUCACCUAGAUUGUUCAAUGGUUGUCUCUGCCUGAUAGACUCUCAACUCUAGCUCCCAAACCCAAGGUCGGGGAGUUGUGUCUCUGUCUGUUGAGACUUGGUGCUCCUUUCUCACAGAUAGCUGGACGUCAGCGAUGCAGGUGUGAGAAAGUAAAAAUCUUCACACACACUGCGACAGGGAGGAGAUGGUGCAUGUAAUUUGAUUGGGUUGGAAAGACAUUCCACCCUAGUCGGACAGAGAAGCUAAAAGGCAGAAGCAACUUGAGGAUCGUGGGCUCUUUGCAUCACACCUUCGUGGUGUGUGCACUGAUCUCCCCAGCUGGUUUUUGGUUUGUUGAUGUGCACGAUCAACAUCCAUGCUUUUUAUUUGCUUUCCCCAUUAUUUUUAUUUUCUUUAUUAUUUCAAUAAAUCGCACAAAAGGACAA
This is a long non-coding RNA of Betta splendens (Siamese fighting fish), 4394 nucleotides long. RefSeq lists it as uncharacterized. The transcript is spliced from 2 exons. NCBI's taxonomy places the organism in Eukaryota, Metazoa, Chordata, Actinopteri, Anabantiformes, Osphronemidae. The record is from RefSeq and is a predicted model, not a curated record.